Molecule: long non-coding RNA, 716 nt
Filed under: Coturnix japonica (Japanese quail)
Lineage: Eukaryota; Metazoa; Chordata; Aves; Galliformes; Phasianidae
Description: lncRNA (ENSCJPG00005003156.1)
Source: RNAcentral
AUCAGCGUGCUUUUUAUUGGAGGUGCAAAUUAUACAUAAUAACAUACAGCAAUUUUCAGUUAGAACUUUCGCAUUUUGCAGAAGUCCUUGCAUUUUUUUCAACAAAUAUAAGGGGAAGAAAAAUUCUCUCUUUUGUUUCCUCCCUUUCCCUUUUUCUUACAGAAAACAACGUCCAGGUUUUCUUGGAGCCAAUUAAGUCCAUUUGAAAUAAAGUUCUUUUAUUUUGGAUCAAGAGUGUCCACAUGGGGAGUUAAUCAAGAAUAAUUAUUCCUCUCUAAAUUCACAUCCUCAAAUAAUUUGAAUUAAAUCCCCAGCAUAGGAAAGCCCUAAAUGUCAGAGGAGGUUAAAAAAUAGUAGAGUAGACUAGAGGAGCUCUAUCAUAACAGAAAGCGAUGACAGUAAAACCAUCCUCUAUGCAGCCAGCCCAAGCCAGCAAGCGGAGCCAGCCAGGAUGGAUCCAGGUACAAAUGAUCCCACUCUCACUGUUCAGCCAUUUAAAGUCAACUGCUGUAUGUGUCCAUGGCACAGUUGCUAUGUACACUCUGUAUAGUGAUGUAAUAGUGGCAUCAGGCAGGAGAUGCUGCAGUCAUCAGAAGGAGCGAGUUCAGGCACAUCUCAGGAAGGAAUGUUGCUCAGGGAUGGAUGCCUUUCUCAGUUGUUUUCCCAGCUGGCUGCAGACAAAACCAGUGACAGGAAAGCUGAGGCCUGAUGGCUGA